RNAcentral lists this ribosomal RNA (483 nucleotides) under uncultured bacterium. RNAcentral describes it as "bacterial SSU rRNA". It matches the Rfam family "Bacterial small subunit ribosomal RNA", at positions 29 to 507 of the family's 1533-position model. The record is from RNAcentral.
AUUGAACGCUGGCGGCAUGCUUUACACAUGCAAGUCGAACGGCAACAGGCCUUCGGGUGCUGACGAGUGGCGAACGGGUGAGUAAUGCAUCGGAACGUGCCCAAUCGGUGGGGGAUAACGUAGCGAAAGUUACGCUAAUACCGCAUAAGCCCUGAGGGGGAAAGUGGGGGACCGCAAGGCCUCACGCGAAUGGAGCGGCCGAUGUCAGAUUAGCUAGUUGGUGAGGUAAAGGCUCACCAAGGCGACGAUCCGUAGCUGGUCUGAGAGGACGACCAGCCACACUGGAACUGAGACACGGUCCAGACUCCUACGGGAGGCAGCAGUGGGGAAUUUUGGACAAUGGGGGCAACCCUGAUCCAGCCAUUCCGCGUGAGUGAAGAAGGCCUUCGGGUUGUAAAGCUCUUUCGGCAGGAACGAAACGGUGGCCCCUAAUACGGGCUACUAAUGACGGUACCUGAAGAAGAAGCACCGGCUAACUACGUG